GGAAGUUUUCAAUGGUAUUAUGAUAUAUGAGAUUACAUAAGGGGUACAUGGGUUUAUAUAGAGUUAGGAUAGGAGAAUCCUUCCUCAACUAGGAAAACUCUUAUUACUAUUCCUAUACUAAUAAGGAAAAAUAUUGAAACUUAUUCCUAUACUAAUAAGGAAAAUAUAAUAUUUUUCAACAUUUUGCAUAUACCAGUAGCAUAAUUUAUCAAGAUAUUGGCAGGAAAAUGAAAGUGAUACUGAUAGUUUAAGUUACUUUGUAGAACUGGGACCAACU
RNAcentral lists this long non-coding RNA (277 nucleotides) under Linum usitatissimum (flax). Its description in RNAcentral is "long non-coding RNA (LUSI_LNC004378)". Lineage: Eukaryota; Viridiplantae; Streptophyta; Magnoliopsida; Malpighiales; Linaceae. The record is from RNAcentral.